This 334-nucleotide ribosomal RNA is filed under the name uncultured bacterium. RNAcentral's name for it is "partial 16S ribosomal RNA". It matches the Rfam family "Bacterial small subunit ribosomal RNA", at positions 338 to 670 of the family's 1533-position model. The record is from RNAcentral.
CCUACGGGGGGCAGCAGUGAGGAAUAUUGGUCAAUGGCCGGAAGGCUGAACCAGCCAAGCCGCGUGAGGGACGACUGUGCCAAGGGUUGUAAACCUCUUUUAUCAGGGAACAAAAUAUGCCACGUGUAGCAUGAUGCCUGUACCUUAUGAAAAAGCAUCGGCUAACUCCGUGCCAGCAGCCGCGGUAAUACGGAGGAUGCGAGCGUUAUCCGGAUUUAUUGGGUUUAAAGGGUGAGUAGGCGGUUUGUUAAGUGAGUGGUAAAACGGCGGGGCUUAACCAUGCUGGGCCGUUGAUACUGGAUGCCUCGAGAUGAGGCGAGGUAGGCGGAAUGCG